RNAcentral lists this ribosomal RNA (120 nucleotides) under Microcebus murinus (gray mouse lemur). The record is from RNAcentral. Lineage: Eukaryota; Metazoa; Chordata; Mammalia; Primates; Cheirogaleidae.
GUCUGCAGCCAUACCACCUUCAACAUGCCUGAUCCCAUCAGAUCUUGGAGGCUAAGCAGUGUUGGGCCUAGUUAGUACUUGGAUGGGAGAAAAAGUGAAAUAGCUAGCUAGUUAUAUUCC